Molecule: ribosomal RNA, 253 nt
Filed under: uncultured bacterium
Lineage: Bacteria
Description: partial 16S ribosomal RNA
Rfam family: Bacterial small subunit ribosomal RNA
Source: RNAcentral
UACGGAAGGGGCAAGCGUUGUUCGGAAUCAUUGGGCGUAAAGGGCGCGUAGGUGGUUCUGUAUGUCUACCGUGAAAGCAUACGGCUCAACUGUAUUAUGUCGGUAGAAACUGCAGGACUUGAGGCUGGGAGGGGCUGGUGGAAUUCCCUGUGUAGCGGUGAAAUGCGUAGAGAUGGGGGAGAACACUCGUGGCGAAGGCGGCCAGCUAGACCAGUUCUGACACUGAGGCGCGACAGCGUGGGGAGCAAACAGG